This 532-nucleotide ribosomal RNA is filed under the name uncultured bacterium. RNAcentral describes it as "bacterial SSU rRNA". It matches the Rfam family "Bacterial small subunit ribosomal RNA", at positions 94 to 630 of the family's 1533-position model. The record is from RNAcentral.
CACGGCGCACGGGUGGGUAACCAGUGGGCAAUCUGCCCUCUGAUGGGGAAUAACCCCGCGAAAGCGGGGCUAAUACCGCAUAACAUUUCGGGGACUUCGGAGCCUGAACUGAAAGCAGUAAUGCGUCGGAGGAGGAGCCCGCGCCCGAUUAGCUAGUUGGUGAGGUAACGGCUCACCAAGGCAAUGAUCGGUAGCUGGUCUGAGAGGAUGAUCAGCCACACUGGAACUGAGACACGGUCCAGACUCCUACGGGGGGCAGCAGUGGGGAAUCUUGCACAAUGGGCGAAAGCCUGAUGCAGCGACGCCGCGUGGGGGAUGAAGCUUUUCGGAGUGUAAACCCCUUUCGACUGGGACGAAACCCCGCAAGGGAUUGACGGUACCAGUAUAAGAAGCCCCGGCUAACUACGUGCCAGCAGCCGCGGUAAGACGUAGGGGGCCAGCGUUGUUCGGAAUUACUGGGUGUAAAGGGUUCGUAGGCGGUGCGGCAAGUUGGGAGUGAAAUCUCUGGGCUCAACCCAGAGGCUGCUUCCAA